AUGAACAUGAUUUGGGGAAGGUGAAAACCUUCAGUAAGCUUCGAGUCAAGCAGCGCCAGAUAAGUUGCGCAGCUUGGUCCGAAAGGUGAGGAACAAGCGACGAAUAAUCCUUCUCCCACCAUAA
This is a regulatory RNA element of Serratia sp. DD3, 124 nucleotides long. It matches the Rfam family "RtT RNA". From Rfam's summary of the family: This family represents a bacterial cis-regulatory element known as RtT RNA. The exact function of RtT is unknown although it is thought that it may be involved in changing the cellular response in relation to amino acid starvation. NCBI's taxonomy places the organism in Bacteria, Pseudomonadati, Pseudomonadota, Gammaproteobacteria, Enterobacterales, Yersiniaceae. The record is from Rfam.